UACGUAGGGGACAAGCGUUGUCCGGAUUUACUGGGCGUAAAGGGCGCGCAGGCGGUCGUUCAAGUCGAGUGUGAAAGCCCCCGGCUCAACUGGGGAGGGUCACUCGAUACUGAUCGACUCGAAGGCAGGAGAGGGUAGUGGAAUUCCCGGUGUAGUGGUGAAAUGCGUAGAUAUCGGGAGGAACACCAGUGGCGAAGGCGACUACCUGGCCUGUUCUUGACGCUGAGGCGCGAAAGCUAGGGGAGCAAACGGG
This 253-nucleotide ribosomal RNA is filed under the name uncultured bacterium. RNAcentral describes it as "partial 16S ribosomal RNA". It matches the Rfam family "Bacterial small subunit ribosomal RNA", at positions 524 to 776 of the family's 1533-position model. The record is from RNAcentral.